GACGAACGCUGGCGGCGUGCCUAACACAUGCAAGUCGAACGGGACCAGAUGUCAGACAGCGGACAUCAGAAGACAGAUUACAGAUGGCAGAAUACAGAUUCAGAAGAGGGCGUGGAGGAAACCAAGCCUAGAUUCUAAUAUCCUAAGUCUGAGCAUUAGUAUCUGAACUCUGGUAUCUGGCGUCUGAUGUCUGGUCUAGUGGCGGACGGGUGAGUAACGCGUGAGCAACCUGCCUUACAGAGGGGGAUAACAUUCGGAAACAAAUGCUAAUACCGCAUAACAUAUAUUUACGGCAUCGUAGAUAUAUCAAAGGAGCAAUCCGCUGUAAGAUGGGCUCGCGUCCGAUUAGAUAGUUGGUGAGGUAAUGGCUCACCAAGUCUGCGAUCGGUAGCCGGACUGAGAGGUUGAACGGCCACAUUGGGACUGACGACACGGCCCAGACCUCCUACGGGAGCAGCAGU
This 461-nucleotide ribosomal RNA is filed under the name uncultured bacterium. RNAcentral's name for it is "bacterial SSU rRNA". It matches the Rfam family "Bacterial small subunit ribosomal RNA", at positions 28 to 355 of the family's 1533-position model. The record is from RNAcentral.